ACGAACGCUGGCGGCAGGCCUAACACAUGCAAGUCGAGCGAGGACUUCGGUUCUAGCGGCGGACGGGUGAGUAACGCGUGGGAAUGUGCCCUUCUCUACGGAAUAGCCCUGGGAAACUGGGAGUAAUACCGUAUACGCCCUAUUGGGGAAAGAUUUAUCGGAGAAGGAUCAGCCCGCGUUGGAUUAGGUAGUUGGUGGGGUAAUGGCCUACCAAGCCGACGAUCCAUAGCUGGUUUGAGAGGAUGAUCAGCCACACUGGGACUGAGACACGGCCCAGACUCCUACGGGAGGCAGCAGUGGGGAAUCUUAGACAAUGGGGGCAACCCUGAUCUAGCCAUGCCGCGUGAGUGAUGAAGGCCUUAGGGUUGUAAAGCUCUUUCAGCUGGGAAGAUAAUGGCGGUACCAGCAGAAGAAGCCCCGGCUAACUCCGUG
This 432-nucleotide ribosomal RNA is filed under the name uncultured bacterium. Its description in RNAcentral is "partial 16S ribosomal RNA". It matches the Rfam family "Bacterial small subunit ribosomal RNA", at positions 29 to 507 of the family's 1533-position model. The record is from RNAcentral.